UACGGAGGGUGCAAACGUUGUCCGGAAUCACUGGGCGUAAAGCGCAUGUAGGUGGUUUAUUAAGUGAACGAUUAAAGACCGACGCCUAACGUCGGGAAGGUUGUUCAUACUGGUAGACUUGAGUAUGGCAGGGGUAAGCGGAACUUUAGGUGUAGGAGUGAAAUCCGUAGAUAUCUAAAGGAACACCAAUGGCGAAGGCAGCUUACUGGGCCAUUACUGACACUGAGAUGCGAAAGUGUGGGAGCAAACGGG
This 252-nucleotide ribosomal RNA is filed under the name uncultured bacterium. RNAcentral describes it as "partial 16S ribosomal RNA". It matches the Rfam family "Bacterial small subunit ribosomal RNA", at positions 524 to 776 of the family's 1533-position model. The record is from RNAcentral.